RNAcentral lists this ribosomal RNA (248 nucleotides) under uncultured bacterium. RNAcentral describes it as "partial 16S ribosomal RNA". It matches the Rfam family "Bacterial small subunit ribosomal RNA", at positions 57 to 305 of the family's 1533-position model. The record is from RNAcentral.
GCAAGUCGAACGGAGUAAUAAUUUGCUUGCAAAUUAUUGCUUAGUGGCGGACGGGUGAGUAACGCGUAGGAAUCUGCCUUAUGGUGGGGGACAACAGUUGGAAACGGCUGCUAAUACCGCAUAUUAUUUUCGAAUAAAAGGUGGCACUUAGGUGCUGUCGCCAUGAGAUGAGCCUGCGUUGGAUUAGCUAGUUGGUGGGGUAAUUGCUUACCAAGGCUGUGAUCCAGAGCUGGUCUGAGAGGAAGAGC